This 4447-nucleotide long non-coding RNA is filed under the name Xyrichtys novacula (pearly razorfish). Lineage: Eukaryota; Metazoa; Chordata; Actinopteri; Labriformes; Labridae. The record is from RNAcentral.
UGAAAAUAAAUUAUUUAGUUCUUCAAACUAAUUUAUUUCCUUCAAACUGAUUUAAACCGUUUUGAUUCUUCAAACCUCUUUUUCUUCCAGAUUUGUAACCUUUUAAUUCUCCAGUUUUAAAUAUUUUUUACUCUUAAUACAUUAUUCAGUUCUUUCAAACAAAUUCAAAACUUAUUGGUUCUUCAAGCCUUUCCCAUACUUCAGGGUUUUUAAUCAUUUUAAUUUUCAGAUGUUGAAUUUUCUAAAAUUGUUAUUCAUGCAUUAUUCAAUUCAUUCAAUCGAGUUUAUUCCAAUUGAUUCAAAUCUUCCUGAUUCUUCAUACCUUUUGACCUUUCACAUAUUUUAAAAUUCAGCCAUUCGCAAUAGCAGCGUAGCGCUAGCAAUUUCAACUGAAGCAAUCCCACUCGCAAUUUCUUCAGAAAUUGCAUUUUCUAGUUAUUAUUAUUAUUCUUCCACCGUUUUUUGACACGCUACUCCUUCCACAUACUUCAACGUAUUCAAACCAUUCAAACUUCAAAAGAUUCAUCUCAUUCAGGAGAUUCCGGCUUGUAUUCAAAAAUUUCCUAACAUUCAUACUUUCCGAGAUAUUCCAGGUUUUCCGACCGAUUUCUCCCAUUAGAAAUGCAUUAUGGAAUGUUCAAAUUGGCUUCAAACUUCAAAAGCCUUCAACUCCGCUAUACUUCCACGUAGAAACUUCAUUCAAAAACCAAAAUAUUCACAAAUUCUUCAGCAUUAUUCCACAUCUUCAACCUUUUUAAUCCCAUUUGUACUUUUCAAAAUAUUAAGAUCUGUUUAAAACUUCGUUAUAAUGGGAUUCAAUGGGAAAAGGCUUUCAGACGUAGUCAACUUCAACCUCUUCUCAUUCAUUCAUGCUUUCACCUAGAAACUUCAUUCAAACUUUAAAAUAUUCACACAUCUUCAGACAUUCACUCAUUCAUUCACCAUCUUCAUGGCAUUCAUACUUUUCUCACAGUGACAGUUCAAAAAUUCACAUGAUUUUCUGGCCUGUUCAGGUUUUAACAUUAGUGUGUAUUGCACGGAAUGUUGGCCGCUAGAGUGGGUGACCUCACAGCUAGAGUGAGACAGGCUGAAAAUUGAUCCUCAAAACUUUGUCUUUACAAAAGGAUUGUGGCAACUCACUUCACUCUACACAGAUAAAAUUUGGUACAGUGAUGGCAAAACUCGCUGUCACUCUUCAUCUAAAAAAUCAAAGCCAUAGGACACACACAGUGGCCUGGGCAGACACCAACUGCCGCAGACAUCCCCCAGAUUUCUCCAGCUUUCUCCAUUGACUCCAAUGUAAACCUGAGAGGAGGAUUUUCAGAGGAAACAUGAACUGGACAUGUUUUUAACUUGUUGUAGUGAAGGCAUUUUUGGCUCCACAAACACAGAAGUUGUAUCAACGUGUUCAGCCGGGCCUUGUGGUUCUCACAAGCUCCUGAUCAUGAAGAUAGCAGUUACAGAGGAUGAGAAAUAUGACGUUGUUUGGGCAUUACGCUCUCAGCCUCAAGCCUCCUUUCUCCUGCUGUUGUUAAGCAUCUAUCGUCACCAUGGCAACCAAUAAGAGCACCUGGAGACACACAGCUGGCUGGAAAGCUGCUUCUAACAGCCAUAUGAGACACAUGAAGCCAGGCUCAGUACACAGAGUACUGGGGGUUACAUUUAAAACCCUUCAAUAGAGUUAUUUGACAAAAUUUGUCAUCUAUCUCUUCGCACAAACCUUGAGCUACAGAAACCAACCAGGGCUUAAUAAAUUCAGCUCAUUGAGGACAUUAUGGGGUCUAAUCAGGAUUUUUAUUCAUUUACAUUGUCCCCAUUUUUCAAUCAUUCAUUGAAAAUGCAUUAUUUAGUUCUUCAAACUAAUUUAUUUCCUUCAAACUGAUGUAAACCAUUUUGAUUCUUCAAACCUCUUUUUCUUCCAGAUUUGUAACCUUUUAAUUUUCCAGUUUUAAAUCAUUUUUUACUCUUACUGCAUUAUUCAGUUCUUUCAAACAAAUUACAACUCAUUUAAACUGAUUCAAACCUUAUUGAUUCUUCAAGCCUUUCCCAAACUUCAGGGUUUUUAAUCAUUUUAAUUUUCAAACGUGGAAAUUUCAAAAUUAUUAUUCAUGCAUUAUUCAAUUCAUUCAAUUGAGUUUAUUCCAAUUGAUUCAAAUCUUCCUGAUACUUCAUACCUUUUGACCUUUCACAUAUUUUUAAAAUUCAGCCAUUCGCAAUAGCAGCGUAGCGAUAGCAAUUUCAACUGAAGCAAUCCCACUCGCAAUUUCUUCAGAAAUUGCAUUUUCUAGUUAUUAUUAUUCCGCCGUUUUUUGGCAGUCAACUACUUCCACAUACUUCAACGUAUUCAAACCAUUCAAACUUCAAAAGAUUCAUCUCGUUGAGGAGAUUCCGGCUUGUAUUCAAAAAUUUCCUAACAUUCAUACUUUCCGAGAUAUUCCAGGUUUUCCGACCGAUUUCUCCCAUUAGAAAUGCAUUACGGAAUGUUCAAAUUGGCUUCAAACUUCAAAAGCCUUCAGCUCCUCUAUACUUCCACGUAGAAACUUCAUUCAAAAACCAAAAUAUUCACAAAUUCGUCAGCAUUAUUCCACAUCUUCAACAUUUUUAAUCCCAUUUGUACUUUUCAAAAUAUUAAGAUUUGUUUAAAACUUCGUUAUAAUGGCAGUCAAUGGGAAAAGGGCUUCAGACGUAGUCAACUUCAACCUCUUCUCAUUCAUUCAUACUUUCACCUAGAAACUUCAUUCAAACUUUAAAAUAUUCACACAUCUUCAGACAUUCACUCAUUCAUUCACCAUCUUCAUGGCAUUCAUACUUUUCUCACAGUGACAGUUCAAAAAGUCCAAAGAUUUUCUAACCUGUUCAGGUUUUAACAUUAGUGUGUAUUGCACGGAAUGUUGGCAGCUAGAGUGGGUGACCUCACAGCUAGAGUGAGACAGGCUGAAAAUCGAUCCUCAAAACUUUGUCUUUACAAAAGGAUUGUGGCAACUCACUUCGCUCUACACAGAUAAAAUUUGGUACAGUGAUGGCAAAACUCGCUGUCACUCUUCAUCUAAAAAAUCAAAGGCCAUAGGACACACACAGUGGCCUGGGCAGACACCAACUGCCGCAGACAUCCCCCAGAUUUCUCCAGCUUUCUCCAUUGACUCCAAUGUAAACCUGAGAGGAGGAUUUUCAGAGGAAACACAAACUGGACAUGUUUUUAACUUGUCGUAGUGAAGGCAUUUUUGGCUCCACAAACAACAAGUUGUAUCAACGUGUUCAGCCGGGCCUUGUGGUUCUCACAAGCUCCUUAUCAUGAAGAUAGCAGUUACAGAGGAUGAGAAAUAUGACGUUGUUUGGGCAUUACGUUCUCAGCCUCAAGCCUCCUUUCUCCUGCUGUUGUUAAGCAUCUAUCGUCACCAUGGCAACCAAAGGGAGCACCUGGAGACACACAGCUGGCUGGAAAGCUGCUUCUAACAGCCAUAUGAGACACAUGAAGCCAGGCUCAGUACACAGAGUACUGGGGGUGACAUUUAAAACCCUUCAAUAGCGUUAUUUGACGAAAUUUGUCAUCUAUCUCUUCGCACAAACCUUGAGCUACAGAAACCAUCCAGGGCUUAAUAAAUUCAGCUCAUUGAGGACAUAAUGCGGUCUAAUAAGGAUUUUUAUUCAUUUACAUUGUCCCCAUUUUUCAAUCAUUCAUUGAAAAUGCAUUAUUUAGUUCUUCAAACUAAUUUAUUUCCUUCAAACUGAUUUAAACUGUUUUGAUUCUUCAAACCUCUUUUUCUUCUAGAUUUGUAACCUUUUAAUUUUCCAGUUUUAAAUCAUUUUUUACUCUUACUGCAUUAUUCAGUUCUUUCAAACAAAUUCCAACUCAUUUACACUGAUUCAAAACUUAUUGAUUCUUCAAGCCUUUCCCAAACUUAAGGGUUUUUAAUCAUUUUAAUUUUCAAACGUGGAAAUUUCAAAAUUAUUAUUCAUGCAUUAUUCAAUUCAUUCAAUUGAGUUUAUUCCAAUUGAUUCAAAUCUUCCUGAUACUUCAUACCUUUUGACCUUUCACAUAUUUUUAAAAUUCAGCCAUUCGCAAUAGCAGCUUAGCGAUAGCAAUUUCAACUGAAGCAAUCCCACUCGCAAUUUCUUCAGAAAUUGCAUUUUCUAGUUAUUAUUAUUAUUCCGCCGUUUUUUGGCAGUCAACUACUUCCACAUACUUCAACGUAUUCAAACCAUUCAAACUUCAAAAGAUUCUUCUCAUUCCGGAGAUUCCGGCUUGUAUUCAAAAAUUUCCAAACAUUCAUACUUUCCGAGAUAUUCCAGGUUUUCCGACCGAUUUCUCCCAUUAGAAAUGCAUUACGGAAUGUUCAAAUUGGCUUCAAACUUCAAAAGCCUUCAACUCCUCUAUACUUCCACGUAGAAACUUCAUUCAAAAACCAAAAUAUUCACAAAUUCGUCAGCAUUAUUCCACAUCUUCAAC